RNAcentral lists this long non-coding RNA (1384 nucleotides) under Chrysemys picta bellii (western painted turtle). Its description in RNAcentral is "lncRNA (ENSCPBG00000025330.1)". The record is from RNAcentral. Lineage: Eukaryota; Metazoa; Chordata; Testudines; Emydidae.
CUGUUGAGGCACUGUGGUGAUGCGGUACAAGCAGAGGAGUGGGAAUCAGCAGAUUCAAAGUUCCAAUUCCAGCUCUGCUACUGACUUAUUGUAUGAACAGCUUCACCUUUCUUUUUUCCCCCUAUCUGGAGAAUAACAAUCACUUACCGCUCUUACAGGAUGUCAGGUGGAUUGAUUAGUUAAGAAGCUAGAUCCUCAGUAGAACCUCAUGGAGCUGUGCUGAUUCACACCCAUUGGGGAUCUAGCCCAGUGUUUGUACAAUACUUUGAAAGUGUUUUCUACUGUAUAAGUGCUAAUGUACAAUAAAAAUUCAUCUAAUAACAAAUCCUUAAUUACCAAGUAGAUCUGAGCAACAAUUUAAAAACCAAGUGCAGAGUGUGUGUGUGAGUGAGAGAGAGAGUACUUAUAGGUGUGGAGGGAAAAAGGAGGGGGGAAUGCUAAGGGGGGGGAAUUUACAUUGGUGGACAAUCUAAAGAAAAUGGCAAGUAAAAUAACAAAAAGAUUGUACCCAGGGUGAAAAAUACAUUGUUGCCCAUUAAAGAAUUGCUGCUAGUGAACAGAUGAAAUUUUUUAAGUGUGCAAAAGCAGCACCAUUUCUUUCAUCUCUGUUUUUAUUCCACAUCACUUAGGUUCACACUGAACUUUUCUGCUGUAACAUUCAUUGAUCAACUGCUGCAUUGUUGAAGGCUCUCUCACAAUAGACUUCUGUUGACUCAUGUCAGAAGUGUGUUUAUUUAAUAUCUUAUUUGUUCUGCUUCUUUCCUCCUCUUCAGGUGUCAAUUUUGGAAGGACUGAAUACUGACUAAUGAAAGGAGCUAGAGAAACUCAUUGCUACUAAUUCACUGCAAUCAUAAUUAUCACCCUAACAGAUACUGGAAGCUGCACCAGCUGUCCCAUGCAGUAGAACUCUGGAUUAGCUUCUCUGCUGUCAAUGACUUUUAAACUCACAUUGAAGUUGGGGAAAACAUCUUUUCCAGAGAAAUUGAGGGAGGAUUUGUUGAGAAGACCUAAUAUUAUGGCUAAAUGGCUUGUGUACGCUACCGGCCGGAUUGACGGGCAGUGAUCAAUCCAGCAGGGGUUGAUCAAUCGACCGCAGAUCACUUUAGCGUCAACUCUGGUACUCCACCUCAAUGAGAAGCGCAAGAGGAAUCGACGGGAGAGCGUCUCCUGUUGACACACCACGGUAAGUAGAUCUAAGUACGUCGACUUCAGCUACGUUAUUCACGUAGUUGAAGUUGCAUAACUUAGAUCCAUUUCCCUCCCCCGGUAAUGUAGACUAGCCCUUAGUUUCCCAAAUUCCCCCUAAGUCUCUUUCCUCUCCCUCAGCCCUUCAUUUCUCCCUCUAUCCCCUCCCCCAUCCAUCCAUGCUUCCAGUUCUCCUCCU